RNAcentral lists this ribosomal RNA (481 nucleotides) under uncultured Sphingobacteriales bacterium. Its description in RNAcentral is "bacterial SSU rRNA". It matches the Rfam family "Bacterial small subunit ribosomal RNA", at positions 67 to 543 of the family's 1533-position model. The record is from RNAcentral. Lineage: Bacteria; Pseudomonadati; Bacteroidota; Sphingobacteriia; Sphingobacteriales.
GGCAGCACGGGUAGCAAUCUGGGGUGGCGACCCGGCAAACGGGUGCGGAACACGUACACAACUUACCUUUCGGUGGGGGAUAGCCUUUGGAAACGGAGAUUAAUACCCCAUAAAACAGGGGGCCUGCAUGGGUCUAUUGUUAAAGAUUUAUCGCCGGGAGAUAGGUGUGCGUCUGAUUAGGUAGUUGGUAGGGUAACGGCCUACCAAGCCGACGAUCAGUAACUGGUGUGAGAGCACGACCAGUCACACGGGCACUGAGACACGGGCCCGACUCCUACGGGAGGCAGCAGUAAGGAAUAUUGGUCAAUGGACGGAAGUCUGAACCAGCCAUGCCGCGUGGAGGAUGAAGGUCCUCUGGAUUGUAAACUUCUUUUAUACGGGGCGAAAAAGGGCCAUUCUUGGUCAACUGACGGUACCUGAUGAAUAAGCACCGGCUAACUCUGUGCCAGCAGCCGCGGUAAUACAGAGGGUGCAAGCGUUA